UUCAGACAGGAAGCAUUGACAACAGAAAAACAAAAAUUUUUAUUUUUUUGAAUCACUCAAACUCUAAUUUCAACUUUUCUUUCCAAUAUAAAGAAAUUCGCAGUUUUAGUAACACAUAGUUUGAAAAGAAAAGCAAACAUGAAGGGAGAAAGUACCUGCCUUUCCGGAUACCAGAGGCCACGGUGGGGAUAGAAGCGGCGGUGCACGACGGUGUGCAGCUCGAUUGAAACCUCAGAAUGUUACAGCAAAGGUCAAUGACACUGCAUCUGAAACAGAAAGGCAGCAACAAAACAGAGCCAAACACUGCAUCAGAAACAUAGAGGCAACAACAGCAACAAAACAGAGCCAAAGGCUUAAUUUGAAAAAGUUUGACCUAAUUUUUAUUGUAAUUUAAUUUGGUUUUAUUUUUGGUUGUAAUUUUAUUGUAAUUUUAGAAUUGUAAUUGUAAACUGAUUUGGUUUUGUAAAUUGAUGAGCCUAAUUACUUUA
Molecule: long non-coding RNA, 488 nt
Organism: Cicer arietinum (chickpea)
Lineage: Eukaryota; Viridiplantae; Streptophyta; Magnoliopsida; Fabales; Fabaceae
Source: RefSeq, a predicted model, not a curated record